This 57-nucleotide transfer RNA is filed under the name Ictidomys tridecemlineatus (thirteen-lined ground squirrel). Its description in RNAcentral is "Spermophilus tridecemlineatus (thirteen-lined ground squirrel) tRNA". It matches the Rfam family "tRNA", at positions 8 to 63 of the family's 71-position model. Rfam says of the family: Transfer RNA (tRNA) molecules are approximately 80 nucleotides in length. Their secondary structure includes four short double-helical elements and three loops (D, anti-codon, and T loops). Lineage: Eukaryota; Metazoa; Chordata; Mammalia; Rodentia; Sciuridae. The record is from Rfam by way of RNAcentral.
UAGCUUAGUGGUAGAGCACUUGCCUAGCAUGUGUGAGGCCCUGGGUUCAAUCCCCAG